This 253-nucleotide ribosomal RNA is filed under the name uncultured bacterium. RNAcentral's name for it is "partial 16S ribosomal RNA". It matches the Rfam family "Bacterial small subunit ribosomal RNA", at positions 524 to 776 of the family's 1533-position model. The record is from RNAcentral.
GACGAACCGUCCAAACGUUGUUCGGAAUCACUGGGCUUAAAGGGAGCGUAGGCGGGCUGCCAAGUCCGGGGUGAAAUCCUCCAGCUUAACUGGAGAACUGCCUCGGAUACUGGAAGUCUCGAGGAGGAUAGGGGCAUGCGGAACUAUGGGUGGAGCGGUGAAAUGCGUUGAUAUCCAUGGGAACUCCGGUGGCGAAGGCGGCAUGCUGGAUCUUUUCUGACGCUGAGGCUCGAAAGCCAGGGGAGCAAACGGG